AUUGAACGCUGGCGGCAGGCUUAACACAUGCAAGUCGAGCGGGGGGAGGUAGCUUGCUACCGGACCUAGCGGCGGACGGGUGAGUAAUGCUUAGGAAUCUGCCUAUUAGUGGGGGACAACAUCUCGAAAGGGAUGCUAAUACCGCAUACGUCCUACGGGAGAAAGCAGGGGAUCUUCGGACCUUGCGCUAAUAGAUGAGCCUAAGUCGGAUUAGCUAGUUGGGGGGGUAAAGGCCUACCAAGGCGACGAUCUGUAGCGGGUCUGAGAGGAUGAUCCGCCACACGGGGACUGAGACACGGCCCAGACUCCUACGGGAGGCAGCAGUGGGGAAUAUUGGACAAUGGGGGGAACCCUGAUCCAGCCAUGCCGCGUGUGUGAAGAAGGCCUUAUGGUUGUAAAGCACUUUAAGCGAGGAGGAGGCUACUUUAGUUAAUACCUAGAGAUAGUGGACGUUACUCGCAGAAUAAGCACCGGCUAACUCUGUGCCAGCAGCCGCCGUAA
This 501-nucleotide ribosomal RNA is filed under the name uncultured bacterium. RNAcentral's name for it is "partial 16S ribosomal RNA". It matches the Rfam family "Bacterial small subunit ribosomal RNA", at positions 30 to 523 of the family's 1533-position model. The record is from RNAcentral.